This 72-nucleotide transfer RNA is filed under the name Desmophyllum pertusum. RNAcentral's name for it is "Lophelia pertusa tRNA". It matches the Rfam family "tRNA". From Rfam's summary of the family: Transfer RNA (tRNA) molecules are approximately 80 nucleotides in length. Their secondary structure includes four short double-helical elements and three loops (D, anti-codon, and T loops). The record is from Rfam by way of RNAcentral. Lineage: Eukaryota; Metazoa; Cnidaria; Anthozoa; Scleractinia; Caryophylliidae.
UCCCACGAGUCUCAGUGGUAGAGCGUCCGACGGGUGUGCGGAAGGUCAUAGGUUCGACUCCUGUUGGGGGAA